RNAcentral lists this ribosomal RNA (253 nucleotides) under uncultured bacterium. RNAcentral's name for it is "partial 16S ribosomal RNA". It matches the Rfam family "Bacterial small subunit ribosomal RNA", at positions 524 to 776 of the family's 1533-position model. The record is from RNAcentral.
UACGUAGGGUGCAAGCGUUGUCCGGAAUUAUUGGGCGUAAAGAGCUCGUAGGCGGUCUGUUGCGUCGGCUGUGAAAACCCGGGGCUCAACUCCGGGCCUGCAGCCGAUACGGGCAGACUAGAGUUCGGCAGGGGAGACUGGAAUUCCUGGUGUAGCGGUGAAAUGCGCAGAUAUCAGGAGGAACACCGGUGGCGAAGGCGGGUCUCUGGGCCGAUACUGACGCUGAGGAGCGAAGGCGUGGGGAGCGAACAGG